Molecule: ribosomal RNA, 253 nt
Filed under: uncultured bacterium
Lineage: Bacteria
Description: partial 16S ribosomal RNA
Rfam family: Bacterial small subunit ribosomal RNA
Source: RNAcentral
UACAGAGGUCCCAAGCGUUGUUCGGAUUUACUGGGCGUAAAGGGUGCGUAGGUGGCGAGGUAAGUUCGAUGUGAAAUCUCCGAGCUCAACUCGGAAAUGGCAUUGAAUACUAUCCCGCUUGAGGGUCGGAGGGGAGACUGGAAUUCUCGGUGUAGCAGUGAAAUGCGCAGAUAUCAGGAGGAACACCAAUGGCGAAGGCAGCUCGCUGGGACGGUACUGACGCUGAGACGCGAAAGCGUGGGGAGCAAACAGG